CCAACGGCCCUCAUUAGGGCCACAAGUCAUGAAUUAAACGUUCAGG
This is a non-coding RNA of Enterobius vermicularis (human pinworm), 46 nucleotides long. NCBI's taxonomy places the organism in Eukaryota, Metazoa, Nematoda, Chromadorea, Rhabditida, Oxyuridae. The record is from Rfam.